GGCAAUGCGCAUGAGCGCCAGUUCGUAAGACUCGCCACCGCCGGCACUGCUGGCGGCGGCGGCAUCGGUCAAAUGACGAAAGUGGCGAGCUGGCGGCUUUCCUUGAGGGCGAGACGGAGGUCGCAGCCGUCUUGGUCCUUCGGUCGACGGCCGAGCCAGCCGCUUCCUCCGUCUCGCUGGGCAAUUGCGCUUCUCCGUCCGCGCCUCUCUGACCUCGGAGGAGGAGCGCGCGGCGCUCCCCUGAACUUUCCGUCGGAGCAAUAUUGCCAGCCAGCCUUUUUCAUCGAGGGGAGGCUAGUUUCCCCCCUCCCCCCGCUAUCCGUGGCGUCAGGUUGGUGAAGCUCGCCUGGCCUGGCCAGUGAAAGAUCCCUGCGCGGGCAGGAAUGGCCAGUUUUUUAAACCGGGCAGAUGGUGACCAGUGCAGCCUUUAACUGGGUCAGUGGGCCGUCUCAUACCUCGAAAGCUGGAAGGGCUUAAGCGAUCAUCCCGAUCGGGUGAUUUUAAUCAAGUCUGAUGCGCUUUGAUGAUUCAUUGCAGGCAUCACAGCAUCUCUUGGCCAUCAGUGAUUUCACCCAGAAGGAGAGAGGUCAGAGGUAGAGAAUCUGUGGUUCGCAAAAAAUUCAUAACAGUUCUAGACAUCAUGGUCAAUAGAGAAAAACACUUGAGAGUUGUAUGGAAUAUAUGAAUGACCAUUCCUGUUUCCUAUUUCUUAUCUUGAAUUCAUGGGACUAAUAAAAACAGUCUAUUGGGAACGUACCCUAUCACAACUUUCCAGCCAACAUGCCCAGUGUCUUAACUGCUGAGCCCCAAUAGAAGCAGCUGCUGGUUCUACUUGCAUUAUGACUGACCAAGCAUUGUUAGUCAUGGGCUCAACUCCGUAGAGGAAUUGAAUUAUUGCCACUCCAGCACACGCACACCAGGGCCUUUUCCAUUCUGUCAUUCUGAUUUCUACUGGAUGCAGUGAUGAAUUUCUAGAAGCAGCAAGUUUCAUUUUUGUUGCUACUUUAAAAUGUAAGUCUACUAAUAGACUUGUUUAAAAAUAUUUAGAACGGAAUAAAACAUCUUGCCAUUAUUCUGCAAAUGUUUUGUUUAAAACACUUUUCCCGAUAUAUGUGUAUAUGUUUGUUUAUUACAGUAGUUUAUAAUUUUGCAUCGUGGUUAUCAAUUUAAAGCAUCCAUAAUAAUAAUCAUAGCUGCAAUUCUUCACAUCAGUAUAAAAACUGCAAAAUUGUUAUUGCUUUAAAAAAACUCUGAAGCUCUUUGAUCUAUUCCUCUCUGCAAUAUUAUUGAUUCUUCUGAAUAAAGAGUUUGUUAUUUCAACAAAGGCUUUGAAUCCUUUAGAAAGGUUAGCCGCUCUUUCCUACUAUUUGGACAAUUAUCAUGCCACUGCUGCAAGAUAUGCCAAUAAAAAUACAGUAUGGAGAAAAUCGUGCCCACUUUUUGAACUCUACAAGUCAAUAAAUUUAA
This is a long non-coding RNA of Ahaetulla prasina, 1467 nucleotides long. RefSeq lists it as uncharacterized. Lineage: Eukaryota; Metazoa; Chordata; Lepidosauria; Squamata; Colubridae. The record is from RefSeq and is a predicted model, not a curated record. The transcript is spliced from 3 exons.